GUUUGUGUAGAUUAUAUGAGAUUACAAAGCUGUUAACUUUGGGGAGCUUAAGUUUUAGGCCACAUUCG
RNAcentral lists this transfer RNA (68 nucleotides) under Ancyrocephalus mogurndae. Its description in RNAcentral is "tRNA-Asn". Lineage: Eukaryota; Metazoa; Platyhelminthes; Monogenea; Dactylogyridea; Ancyrocephalidae. The record is from RNAcentral.